This 860-nucleotide ribosomal RNA is filed under the name Pseudomonas koreensis. Its description in RNAcentral is "bacterial SSU rRNA". It matches the Rfam family "Bacterial small subunit ribosomal RNA", at positions 95 to 951 of the family's 1533-position model. Lineage: Bacteria; Pseudomonadati; Pseudomonadota; Gammaproteobacteria; Pseudomonadales; Pseudomonadaceae. The record is from RNAcentral.
GCGGCGGACGGGUGAGUAAUGCCUAGGAAUCUGCCUGGUAGUGGGGGACAACGUUUCGAAAGGAACGCUAAUACCGCAUACGUCCUACGGGAGAAAGCAGGGGACCUUCGGGCCUUGCGCUAUCAGAUGAGCCUAGGUCGGAUUAGCUAGUUGGUGAGGUAAUGGCUCACCAAGGCGACGAUCCGUAACUGGUCUGAGAGGAUGAUCAGUCACACUGGAACUGAGACACGGUCCAGACUCCUACGGGAGGCAGCAGUGGGGAAUAUUGGACAAUGGGCGAAAGCCUGAUCCAGCCAUGCCGCGUGUGUGAAGAAGGUCUUCGGAUUGUAAAGCACUUUAAGUUGGGAGGAAGGGUUGUAGAUUAAUACUCUGCAAUUUUGACGUUACCGACAGAAUAAGCACCGGCUAACUCUGUGCCAGCAGCCGCGGUAAUACAGAGGGUGCAAGCGUUAAUCGGAAUUACUGGGCGUAAAGCGCGCGUAGGUGGUUUGUUAAGUUGGAUGUGAAAUCCCCGGGCUCAACCUGGGAACUGCAUCCAAAACUGGCAAGCUAGAGUAUGGUAGAGGGUGGUGGAAUUUCCUGUGUAGCGGUGAAAUGCGUAGAUAUAGGAAGGAACACCAGUGGCGAAGGCGACCACCUGGACUGAUACUGACACUGAGGUGCGAAAGCGUGGGGAGCAAACAGGAUUAGAUACCCUGGUAGUCCACGCCGUAAACGAUGUCAACUAGCCGUUGGGAGCCUUGAGCUCUUAGUGGCGCAGCUAACGCAUUAAGUUGACCGCCUGGGGAGUACGGCCGCAAGGUUAAAACUCAAAUGAAUUGACGGGGGCCCGCACAAGCGGUGGAGCAUGUGGUUUAAUU